GAUGAAGAACGUAGCGAAAUGCGAUACGUAAUGUGAAUUGCAGAUUUCAGUGAAUCAUCGAAUCUUUGAACGCACAUUGCGCCCGCCAGUAUUCUGGCGGGCAUGCCUGUCUGAGCGUCAUUUCAACCCUCAUGCCCCUAGGGCGUGGUGUUGGGGAUCGGCCAAAGCCCGCGAGGGACGGCCGGCCCCUAAAUCUAGUGGCGGACCCGUCGUGGCCUCCUCUGCGAAGUAGUGAUAUUCCGCAUCGGAGAGCGAUGAGCCCCUGCCGUUAAACCCCCAACUUUCCAAGGUUGACCUCAGAUCAGGUAGGAAUACCCGCUGAACUUAAGCAUAUCAAUAAGCGGAGGA
Molecule: unclassified non-coding RNA, 348 nt
Filed under: soil metagenome
Description: partial contains 5.8S ribosomal RNA, internal transcribed spacer 2, and large subunit ribosomal RNA
Rfam family: 5.8S ribosomal RNA (bases 1-120)
Source: RNAcentral